Molecule: ribosomal RNA, 255 nt
Filed under: uncultured bacterium
Lineage: Bacteria
Description: partial 16S ribosomal RNA
Rfam family: Bacterial small subunit ribosomal RNA
Source: RNAcentral
UACGUAGGGUGCAAGCGUUGUCCGGAAUUAUUGGGCGUAAAGGGCUCGUAGGCGGUCUGUCACGUCGGGAGUGAAAACUCAGGGCUUAACCCUGAGCCUGCUUCCGAUACGGGCAGACUAGAGGUAUGCAGGGGAGAACGGAAUUCCUGGUGUAGCGGUGGAAAUGCGCAGGAUAUCAGGAGGAACACCGGUGGCGAAGGCGGUUCUCUGGGCAUUACCUGACGCUGAGACGCGAAGGCGUGGGGAGCGAACGGG